This 70-nucleotide transfer RNA is filed under the name Bradyrhizobium oligotrophicum S58. RNAcentral's name for it is "tRNA-Arg (CCG) (tRNA-Arg-CCG-2-1)". It matches the Rfam family "tRNA". From Rfam's summary of the family: Transfer RNA (tRNA) molecules are approximately 80 nucleotides in length. Their secondary structure includes four short double-helical elements and three loops (D, anti-codon, and T loops). Lineage: Bacteria; Pseudomonadati; Pseudomonadota; Alphaproteobacteria; Hyphomicrobiales; Nitrobacteraceae. The record is from RNAcentral.
CGCACCCGUAGCUCAGCUGGAUAGAGCGUUGCCCUCCGAAGGCAGAUGUCAAGCUGUUUUGCGGGAGCGU